This 492-nucleotide ribosomal RNA is filed under the name uncultured bacterium. RNAcentral's name for it is "partial 16S ribosomal RNA". It matches the Rfam family "Bacterial small subunit ribosomal RNA", at positions 29 to 507 of the family's 1533-position model. The record is from RNAcentral.
AGUGAACGCUGGCGGUAGGCCUAACACAUGCAAGUCGAACGGCAGCACAGUAAGAGCUUGCUCUUACGGGUGGCGAGUGGCGGACGGGUGAGGAAUACAUCGGAAUCUACUUUUUCGUGGGGGAUAACGUAGGGAGACUUACGCUAAUACCGCAUACGACCUACGGGUGAAAGCAGGGGAUCUUCGGACCUUGCGCGAUUGAAUGAGCCGAUGUCGGAUUAGCCAGUUGGCGGGGUAAAGGCCCACCAAGGCGACGAUCCGUAGCUGGUCUGAGAGGAUGAUCAGCCACACUGGAACUGAGACACGGUCCAGACUCCUACGGGAGGCAGCAGUGGGGAAUAUUGGACAAUGGGCGCAAGCCUGAUCCAGCCAUACCGCGUGGGUGAAGAAGGCCUUCGGGUUGUAAAGCCCUUUUGUUGGGAAAGAAAAGCAGCAGGUUAAUACCCCGCUGUUCUGACGGUACCCAAAGAAUAAGCACCGGCUAACUUCGUG